Molecule: unclassified non-coding RNA, 305 nt
Filed under: uncultured fungus
Lineage: Eukaryota; Fungi
Description: sequence contains ITS2
Rfam family: 5.8S ribosomal RNA (bases 1-52)
Source: RNAcentral
AACGCACCUUGCGCCCCUUGGUAUUCCGAGGGGCAUGCCUGUUUGAGUGUCUUGAAAUCAUCAAACCUAACCGGUCUUUGUUGGCCGGCGCGGUUUGGACUUGGGGGUUUCCUUGCUGCUGCUCGCGGUGGCUCCCCUUAAAUUCAUCGGUCGGGCUUUCGUGCGGCUCUGUCCCUUGGCGUUGUAUUACCCUCGUCGCUGGAUGGCUCGCGAUACUGCGCCCUUCUUUGACCUGCCUCUGGAGUGGCGGUCUUCAACUUUUGUGAUCUGACCUCAAAUCAGGUAGGACUACCCGCUGAACUUAA